UUUCGAUUACUGGCUCAGGAUGGACGCUAGCUACAGGCUUAACACAUGCAAGUCGAGGGGCAGCAUGAUCUAAGCUUGCUUAGAUGAUGGCGACCGGCGCACGGGUGAGUAACGCGUAUCCAACCUUCCCUAUAGUAGAGGAUAGCCCGGCGAAAGUCGGAUUAAUACUCUAUGUUUUCCAAUGCAGACAUCUAAAAUGGAACAAAGGUUUACCGCUAUAGGAUGGGGAUGCGUCUGAUUAGGUUGUUGGCGGGGUAACGGCCCACCAAGCCUACGAUCAGUAGGGGUUCUGAGAGGAAGGUCCCCCACAUUGGAACUGAGACACGGUCCAAACUCCUACGGGAGGCAGCAGUGAGGAAUAUUGGUCAAUGGGCGAGAGCCUGAACCAGCCAAAGUAGCGUGCAGGAUGACGGCCCUAUGGGUUGUAAACUGCUUUUAUACGGGGAUAAAGUGAGGGACGCGUCCCUUUUUGUAGGUACCGUAUGAAUAAGGACCGGCUAAUUCCGUGCCAGCCGCUGC
RNAcentral lists this ribosomal RNA (519 nucleotides) under uncultured bacterium. Its description in RNAcentral is "bacterial SSU rRNA". It matches the Rfam family "Bacterial small subunit ribosomal RNA", at positions 12 to 518 of the family's 1533-position model. The record is from RNAcentral.